GAGUUUGAUCAUGGCUCAGAUUGAACGCUGGCGGCAUGCCUUACACAUGCAAGUCGAACGGCAGCACGGGAGCUUGCUCCUGGUGGCGAGUGGCGAACGGGUGAGUAAUGCAUCGGAACGUAUCCUGGAGUGGGGGAUAACGUAGCGAAAGCUACGCUAAUACCGCAUAUUCUGUGAGCAGGAAAGCGGGGGACCUUCGGGCCUCGCGCUCUUGGAGCGGCCGAUGUCGGAUUAGCUAGUUGGUGAGGUAAAGGCUCACCAAGGCGACGAUCCGUAGCAGGUCUGAGAGGAUGAUCUGCCACACUGGAACUGAGACACGGUCCAGACUCCUACGGGAGGCAGCAGUGGGGAAUUUUGGACAAUGGGGGCAACCCGUGAUCCAGCCAUGCCGCGUGAGUGAAGAAGGCCUUC
This 411-nucleotide ribosomal RNA is filed under the name bacterium enrichment culture clone ALO1_GLFRUDD03FUX9T. RNAcentral's name for it is "bacterial SSU rRNA". It matches the Rfam family "Bacterial small subunit ribosomal RNA", at positions 9 to 419 of the family's 1533-position model. The record is from RNAcentral.